AUUUAUAUAGUUUAUUUAAAACCUUAUAUUUUCAUUAUAAAAAAAGAUUUAUAUCUUAUAAAUA
This 64-nucleotide transfer RNA is filed under the name Coccinella septempunctata (seven-spotted ladybird). Its description in RNAcentral is "tRNA-Glu". Lineage: Eukaryota; Metazoa; Arthropoda; Insecta; Coleoptera; Coccinellidae. The record is from RNAcentral. RNAcentral also lists the same sequence under 1 other name.